Molecule: ribosomal RNA, 380 nt
Filed under: uncultured eukaryote
Lineage: Eukaryota
Description: partial 18S ribosomal RNA
Rfam family: Eukaryotic small subunit ribosomal RNA
Source: RNAcentral
CAAUAGCGUAUAUUAAAGUUGUUGCGGUUAAAAAGCUCGUAGUUGGAGUUCUGCCAGGUGCCGUCUGUCCGCCCCAGUGGUGAGUACGUGACGCGCAUUUGGCCCUUUCAAGGGGAGCGUAUCUGCACUUUACUGUGUGGUGCGGGAUCCUUGACUUUUACUUUGAGGAAAUAGGAGUGUUCCAAGCAGGCUCUCGUCGUGCACAGCUCAGCAUGGAAUAAUAGCAUUGGACCUCGAUUCUAAGCUGUUGGUUGCCAGAAGCGAGGUAAUGAUGAAGAGGGAUAGUUGGGGGCAUUCGUAUUUAACUGUCAGAGGUGAAAUUCUUGGAUUUGUUAAGGACGGACUACUGCGAAAGCAUCUGCCAUGGAUGUUUUCAUUGA